GGCUGCAAGGGCCGAAGGGAGGGAAGUAGGACAUUUGCAAGAAUUUAAACUUCCGUGCCUGAGGGGAGGGAACACGCCUGGAGAGACGUUUUUAAAGUCCAUGUUUUCAGUUCUUCUCUCAGCAGCUGAGGAGAGAGGAGCUAAGGACUGGGGACAGAGGUGAUGGACACAGUGAAAGAAGAGGUCCAUGCAGGACUUCUUGAAAGAGCCGAUGAGUAAAUCCUUGAAACACCUUUUGUGAAAGUAUCAAAAGAUAAAUUGGUGUGGAAGUACCAGUUGGGAAACUCUGACGCUGCUCUAAACUACAGAUGGAAAGAUCGUGAUUUGCUAUCUUUGCAGUUGUGACCAGAGAGAUUGAUGUUGGGGCUUGGUCUCAAGGUGAAGUAUUUUUAUUAUGAAAGUAACAUGUGCUCAUCAUCAGUAAUUAACCCAGAACUGGAAGAAUUUCCCAAUCCCAGCUCCUACUAAGUAUGAGUAUGUGGGUGAGACGCUAAAGACAGAAACCAGUUCAUGAUGACAGAGACCAGAACGGAAGCGCUAAUGUAGCACGUGGAUCUGGCAGAAUAUGUCAAGUGGGCAGAAACCGUGGUGGGUGAACAGACUUCACGGCUCCUCACUCCUCCCACAAAAUAAAGAGCCAUUCCGUCAUCACUUGCUCAUCCGACCACCGAAGAGCUGUCUCAAAGCAGGUGUUAAUGAGGAUUUUAAAUGACUGCUGCAAAAUGUUUUCCAAUGGCCCUCAGUUUAUAUAAAUAGUAAAACUGCCUUUGAUUUUAUGAAAAUGACUUCUGAGUACUUCUAAGCCUCUUUAACUACAGCCAUGGCCAAACAGAAAAUAGCAUUUAAAUCUCCCCCAAAAUAUUAACAAUGGCAUCUUAGAAAAAAAUGUAGAGGUGUAUCUGAGUAUGUGUAUGUUAUUAAGGAAAGAGAAUAUGUACAGAAACGAGUUAACAUAGCAUGCCUGAGGUCAUCACAUGUAGAAAGAACUCCUUGAGACACGACCUCUGGCAGGUAUCUGCAGACUUGAAUGGUAUCAGUGUCUUACACUAUGUGAAACUUUUCUUUCAUGACAAGAUGGCUCACUGCCUAGACUGUUGACAAACAAUAUGGCUUAUGCUGAAUAUCUGCUGUCAUUUUUGGAAUCUUGGAUGUUGGUAUGGUCUAGGUAGAGAGUGCAUGCAUGCAUAGUUUCCAGUAAAAACAGUGGGCAUUGUCUCUAAUGAGCCUCGCUACUAUCUAGCAUUUCCCACGUAUUUCCAACCAGUGGCUGGAGGAGUUAAGUGUAUCAUCUGGCUCCACUGGGGAAGGUCUUGAAAGACUUCCAGAUUUCUCUUUGAAGAUUUUGCUUUGAUUCCCCCCUUUGUAAUAAAUCUUAGACAUGAGUACCUGGGUAUGCUGAGUCCUGUGAGCUCUCACAGGGAAUCAAAACCUGGAAAUGGGUUAUGGGACCCACAUCACAGAAAGGAUGGCCAUUUAGCUGCUAAUCAAUUACCUUUCAUGUGAGUGUUGAUCUGUCUUAGGGAAAAAUUAACCAAGCCUUUGACCAUUCAGAAUAUAAUUACAUUUACACCUCUAGACUGUGCAGCAUUUCCUGAGCACCAGUCCAUUCUUGGUGAUUGUUAAAAAUGAAAUCAUAUUUGUUAUAUAUAAUAAAGCUCAGAAUUUUAAAAAAAUUAUGUAAGCCAGACUCUAAAAGGUGGUUUCCACAACAGCUGUGACUUGAUUACCUUAUGUAUGUAUUAUUGUGAACACAGUUUUAACUUCUGUACUUCUACAGAUGAUAAUACAGGCAGAGUUUCUAUGGGAACCAUGAUGAAUCUUGUCAAAGGAUACAUGCACCAAGGCACCAAACUUAAACGACUAUGCACAGAGACUCAGCAUAUGUAUUGCUAGAGUGAAGCAUAGGUAAAUGCAGUAUUACAAAUCUUUUCUGUCAACCAUGCAUUUCUAAACCAGAACCUUAAUACUGCAUGAAUAAUUUGACAUUUAAAUACCACCUCUUCUGAUUUUCAGGGCAAAAUAUGUGUAGGAGAGAAUCUAACAAGCUGAUUGAUCAUCUUUCUGUAGGUUUAAAAAUACCAGCUUUAGUUAAAAUAUUGUAAUAGAGGAAAUAUCUAAUCUAAUGUUUAAAUAUAUGUAUUUCAGUGAAUUAAUACUUUAUUUUUAUUUUCACUGAUAACUAUAUUUUUUAUGGUAUGGUUUCAGAAUGGAAAAUACAAUCAAUGUAAAAUGUUGCAUAAAAUUAUUCUUUUAGGGCCAGGGAUUUAGCUCAGCGGUUCGGUGGCCUGCCUUGCAA
Fukomys damarensis (Damara mole-rat) is the source of this 2296-nucleotide long non-coding RNA. RefSeq lists it as uncharacterized. Lineage: Eukaryota; Metazoa; Chordata; Mammalia; Rodentia; Bathyergidae. The record is from RefSeq and is a predicted model, not a curated record. The transcript is spliced from 7 exons.